GACGAACGCUGGCGGCGUGCCUAAUACAUGCAAGUAGAACGCUGAAGGAGGAGCUUGCUUCUCUGGAUGAGUUGCGAACGGGUGAGUAACGCGUAGGUAACCUGCCUGGUAGCGGGGGAUAACUAUUGGAAACGAUAGCUAAUACCGCAUAAGAUUGACUAUUGCAUGAUAGUCAGUUAAAAGGUGCAAUUGCAUCACUACCAGAUGGACCUGCGUUGUAUUAGCUAGUUGGUGGGGUAACGGCUCACCAAGGCGACGAUACAUAGCCGACCUGAGAGGGUGAUCGGCCACACUGGGACUGAGACACGGCCCAGACUCCUACGGGAGGCAGCAGGAGGGAAUAUUCGGCAAUGGACGGAAGUCUGAACGAGCAACGCCGCGGGAGUGAAGAAGGGUUUCGGAUCGUAAAGCUCUGUUGUAAGAGAAGAAAGAGUGUGAGAGUGGAAAGUUCACACUGUGACGGUAUCUUAACAGAAAGGGACGGCUAACUACGUG
RNAcentral lists this ribosomal RNA (495 nucleotides) under uncultured bacterium. RNAcentral describes it as "partial 16S ribosomal RNA". It matches the Rfam family "Bacterial small subunit ribosomal RNA", at positions 28 to 507 of the family's 1533-position model. The record is from RNAcentral.